UUCGUCCUGUAGCAGAAGGUGCCCUGCGCCAUCGCUGGGUGACUGUCCUCACCACCUGAGGUCAGUGCCCUGCCACCACCACCCCUCUCGCGGAUCACUCUCAGCUUUGGCUUCUCUUACCCAGCCGUGGCUUCCGAGGUCUGCAUGCCAGUGGGCUCAUCCUCAGAGAGUGGAAUGGCGGCAGGGAGCAUCACUUUUGUCCCCGUACCCCUGCAUCAGGCUCAUGUGAGAACCGAGGCCAGGCUGUCCAAGGCUGUCUCUUCAUACUUCAACAGUCCUGAGUCCCAUGACCUCCCAGCAGCCCGACUCUGGCCUUGGUUACACUCACAGGUAGAGUCCUGCCUCCUCUCCCUCGCAUCCCCACCCCCUUCCCCAAAGGACUGUGUCUCUGAAGUCCUGGGCAGCUUUGCCUCCUGACCUAACUGCUGGAGACACUGGUGUUCCUAGGGAGGAGUUACUCUGCAUCUAACAGCACAGAAGCUCCUGGGGCAGGCGGUGGGGGAGGAACUGAGAAGAUGAAAAUGUCAGCUAGAGCCCUGGAGAAGAGGAGUUGACUUUUAGUCUCCACGUCUAAUUGGGAAUGAGUCGGGUUUUUAUACAUACACACGCACAUGCAUAUGACACGCACACAAAACCCUUGGGAUUGCAGCAGUGUUCGGACACGUCUUCCAAACCUAAUUCCACCUCCUGGCCUCCCUGGCUCUGUCCCCAGAAUCCCAUCCUCCUGAUCCCAGACACUUGGGUCUGGUCCUUCACAGUUGCUCGAGCCAGUGCUGGGUACGCGCCCUCUUACCCUGGGAAGCACCCUCUCCUCCUCUUAGGUCCAGUGCUCCAGGUUGUGUUCCAAGUGCUCGGCUUGUCUGAGAGGUUCCUGCCCACAAGGCCUGGAGGUGCUCUCAGUGUAGCUCCCAUGGUGUGGCUCACGUGGGGCCAGACGCAGCUGAGCUGAGCUGUGGAGCUCCAAAAACGGGGGGUUCCGGAAAGGAGGGUUUUUCAGGGUUUCCUGUGAACCAGGUAGGGGGAAUCUAGACUUCCUGGUGAACUUAGAUCUGUAGCUCUGGCCAAGGGGCUGGGAGGACAGAAGUGAGAAGGAUUCAUGGGAGUGAUGGGUGGUCGUUGGGUUGCUGGUUGGAGGGAGGUGGGGAGCCUGAGAAAGGCCAGAAUGUGGAUGGGCUGGUGUGACAUGGAGUCUGAAAUGGUCAGAGUGAUCCAGCUUGGGGUCUCCAGUGACUAGGAGAGUUGUCCCUUUGAAUAUGGUGUGGCUGUGAAGGAAGAAGCAGGAGGCCUGUUCACAUAGAAGAGCAAAGGUGGACACCGAAGUCCUGACCGUUGGCUGGGAUGGAAGAAUUCAUGUGUGAGAGACUCUUUCAUUGGUUCAUGCCGUGUGUGCCCCUGGGAGGGUGGACCUGAGGAAGGUUAAAGACCCCAGGCUGAUACCAUCUGGAAAGCGGGGGGCCUGGGAGUUAGCAAGGAGGUUCCUGGCCAGUUCCUGGCCACUGUGAACUCCGGCUCAGGAAGAGAGGCGCAGUGUGCAGGAACCUUAAGGACUGGGCUCAGACUGCUAUCAUGUAUGUGUGCCUUCUCUUGGUAGCCAGAGUCCGCUCUAGAUUCCCUGGUUAAAUAAAAGUGAAAGUGAAAUAGAAGGGAGAGUUCAGUGCUUUCGCAGAAGGAUUUCACUAUAUAUCCUGCCCUUCCCAGAACCAGCUCUGGCAGUGGAGAGAACUUUACCUCCCUUUGUGACUAGGUAAGUCCCUGGUCCUCUUUGGGCCUCAGUUUCCAUGCCUGUAAUGAAGGGGUUAGAUUGGACUAGUAACCAGUAUAAUGUUGAUGGUAAUAAGAGCUAGGGUGGGGAUCCCCUGGCUUUGUUUUUAGGGGCUGGAAGAGCUCUAGCCUAUGCCCGAUGCCAGUCCUCCAGGAGUUGUCACAGGUGGACAGGACAGAGUAAAUAGCAGUGCCUGACAGCCCACUGAAAAACUAGAGGUAGGGAGGGGCUGUGGAGUCCACAGGAAGAAGGCCACAUGUAUGCCUGGGAUCUAAGCAAGCCACUCAGAAGACGUGGGAGAAGCAGUUUUUCACCAUCUCCUCCCCCGCCUCCCCCAGAGAGGAGGAAGUUGUCACAGAUACAUAAAUCCAGGCGUGCCAGCUCCUGACACACGCAUCACGACCAUGAGACAGAACUGGAUUCCAGACCCCAGCCCUCUUUGGGCCCUGCUCCUCUGUGCCCACAUCGUCUCCCACCUGGCCAGAGCCACAUCUGUGCCUCAGGCCACUACAGCUGCCACUGCCUCAGCUGGGAUCGCAAAGGACACCUGCCCCUCCCGGCCCCCAGCGCUCCCGACAGCUAAGCAGUGCCCAGCAUUGGAGGUGACCUGGCCGGAAGUGGAAGUCUCACUGAAUGGAACGCUGACCUUGUCCUGUACUGCCUGCAGCCGCUUCCCCCACUUCAGCAUCCUUUACUGGCUGGGCAACAGCUCCUUCAUCGAGCACCUCCCGGGCCGGCUGCGGGAGGGCAGCACCAGGCGGGAGCACAGGGGCACGAGGACCCAGCUGUGGAGGGCCUUGGUGCUGGAGGAGCUGAGCCCCGCCCUGCGAGACACCAACUUCUCCUGUGUUUUCUCGGAUCUUGGGCAGACUGCCCAGCGUCACCUCGUCCUGGCCCAGCUCUGGGCUGGGCUGAAGACGAGCGUACCCCCGACACAAGAAGCCCUGUCCUCCAGCAAGUCCCCUCAGCCUCACCAUCCUGAUAAUGAACCCCAAGCUCCAAAGCCUGGUUGAAAUGCCACCUCUUCAUUGAGCUCUACACGCUCUCAGCCCAGGCCACAUUCUGCAUCGACUUAAUGUUGUAUUUGUUUCGACUGUCCCAGGGAAGAACGUGGCCUGUCUGAGGAGGGAGUGUGGGAAGAGGAGAGAGAAUGCCACUCAGAAGCUACAGACAAAACCAGAUUCAGGGGACACAGGCCCUCAGAAGAGAAGAGGCCGGCCCAUAAUGCUCCUCAGGAGCAGAGGCCAGAAAUGGAGUGUGGGAAGAUCCUGUGGCCUGAGAAAGGCCAGGAGAAGGGAUCUGAGAGAAGGUAUGUGGGUCUGGAGUCUCCACAGGGACAAAGGUACGCUGCUCUACAAAGCCCAGGUUUUCCUACUUUUCCCACACAGAU
Molecule: RNA transcript, 3152 nt
Organism: Lagenorhynchus albirostris (white-beaked dolphin)
Lineage: Eukaryota; Metazoa; Chordata; Mammalia; Artiodactyla; Delphinidae
Gene: IL18BP
Gene name: interleukin 18 binding protein
Exons: 6
Source: RefSeq, a predicted model, not a curated record